Molecule: ribosomal RNA, 402 nt
Filed under: uncultured prokaryote
Description: bacterial SSU rRNA
Rfam family: Bacterial small subunit ribosomal RNA
Source: RNAcentral
UGGGGAAUAUUGGGCAAUGGGCGCAAGCCUGACCCAGCAACGCCGCGUGAAGGAUGAAGGUUUUCGGAUCGUAAACUUCUUUGAUCGGGGACGAAAUUGACGGUACCCGAGGAACAAGCCACGGCUAACUACGUGCCAGCAGCCGCGGUAAUACGUAGGUGGCAAGCGUUAUCCGGAAUUACUGGGCGUAAAGGGCGUGUAGGCGGGCAGCCAAGUCGGGAGUGAAAUCCCAGGGCUUAACCCUGGAGCUGCUUCCGAAACUGUCUUUCUUGAGUGUCGGAGAGGAAAGUGGAAUUCCCAGUAUAGCGGUGAAAUGCGUAGAGACUGGGAGCAACACCAGUGGCGAAGGCGACUUUCUGGACGAUAACUGACGCUGAGGCGCGAAAGCGUGGGGAGCAAACA